This 479-nucleotide ribosomal RNA is filed under the name uncultured bacterium. RNAcentral describes it as "bacterial SSU rRNA". It matches the Rfam family "Bacterial small subunit ribosomal RNA", at positions 29 to 507 of the family's 1533-position model. The record is from RNAcentral.
AACUAACGCUGGGCGGCGUGCCUAACACAUGCAAGUCGUACGAGAAAGUUGGCUUCGGCCGAUGAGUAAAGUGGCGCACGGGUGAGUAAUGCGUGGAUAAUCUGCCCUUUAGUUGGGAAUAACGUACCGAAAGGUGCGCUAAUACCUGAUAAUACUGCAUAACUACUGUUGUGUAGUCAAAGAAGGCCUCUGUUUACAAGCUUUUGCUGAAGGAUGAGUCCGCGUACCAUUAGCUGGUUGGUGGGGUAAUGGCCUACCAAGGCUACGAUGGUUAGCCGGCCUGAGAGGGUGGACGGCCACACUGGGACUGAGACACGGCCCAGACUCCUACGGGAGGCAGCAGUGGGGAAUAUUGGAACAAUGGGCGAAAGCCUGAUCCAGCCAUGCCGCGUGAGUGAUGAAGGCCUUAGGGUUGUAAAGCUCUUUUGUCCGGGAAGAUAAUGACGGUACCGGAAGAAUAAGCCCCGGCUAACUUCGUG